GACGAGCUACACAAACGUUAUUCGGAAUCACUGGGCGUAAAGGGUGCGUAGGCGGGUUUUUAAGUCAGGGGUGAAAUCCUGGAGCUCAACUCCAGAACUGCCUUUGAUACUGAAGAUCUUGAGUCCGGGAGAGGUGAGUGGAACUGCGAGUGUAGAGGUGAAAUUCGUAGAUAUUGGGAGGAACACCAGUGGCGAAGGCGGCUCACUGGACCGGUUCUGACGCUGAGGCGCGAAAGCGUGGGGAGCAAACGGG
This 253-nucleotide ribosomal RNA is filed under the name uncultured bacterium. RNAcentral's name for it is "partial 16S ribosomal RNA". It matches the Rfam family "Bacterial small subunit ribosomal RNA", at positions 524 to 776 of the family's 1533-position model. The record is from RNAcentral.